RNAcentral lists this ribosomal RNA (253 nucleotides) under uncultured bacterium. Its description in RNAcentral is "partial 16S ribosomal RNA". It matches the Rfam family "Bacterial small subunit ribosomal RNA", at positions 524 to 776 of the family's 1533-position model. The record is from RNAcentral.
UACGUAGGUGGCAAGCGUUGUCCGGAGUUAUUGGGCGUAAAGCGCGCGCAGGCGGUGCGGUAAGUCUCUGGUGAAAGCGCUCGGCUUAACUGGGCGAGGGCCGGGGAGACUGCCACGCUGGAGGGGAGCAGAGGCGAGUGGAAUUCCGGGUGUAGUGGUGAAAUGCGUAGAGAUCCGGAGGAAGACCGGUGGCGAAGGCGGCCUGCUGGGCAGUUACUGACACUGAGGCGCGACAGCGUGGGGAGCAAACAGG